RNAcentral lists this ribosomal RNA (465 nucleotides) under uncultured bacterium. RNAcentral describes it as "partial 16S ribosomal RNA". It matches the Rfam family "Bacterial small subunit ribosomal RNA", at positions 338 to 795 of the family's 1533-position model. The record is from RNAcentral.
CCUACGGGCGACAGCAGUAGGGAAUCUUCCACAAUGGGCGAAAGCCUGAUGGAGCAACGCCGCGUGGGUGAAGAAGGUCUUCGGAUCGUAAAACCCUGUUGUUAGAGAAGAAAGUGCGUGAGAGUAACUGUUCACGUUUCGACGGUAUCUAACCAGAAAGCCACGGCUAACUACGUGCCAGCAGCCGCGGUAAUACGUAGGUGGCAAGCGUUAUCCGGAUUUAUUGGGCGUAAAGGGAACGCAGGCGGUCUUUUAAGUCUGAUGUGAAAGCCUUCGGCUUAACCGGAGUAGUGCAUUGGAAACUGGGAGACUGGAGUGCAGAAGAGGAGAGUGGAACUCCAUGUGUAGCGGUGAAAUGCGUAGAUAUAUGGAAGAACACCAGUGGCGAAAGCGGCUCUCUGGUCUGUAACUGACGCUGAGGUUCGAAAGCGUGGGCAGCAAACAGGAUUAGAUACCCCAGUAGGC